Molecule: long non-coding RNA, 1262 nt
Organism: Ceratitis capitata (Mediterranean fruit fly)
Lineage: Eukaryota; Metazoa; Arthropoda; Insecta; Diptera; Tephritidae
Exons: 3
Source: RefSeq, a predicted model, not a curated record
UAUUUAAAUUGAACCAAGACUAAGAGGAAGAAUAAGAAGAGUACGAGAAACAAACUAAUCAAACAAACCAGCGUGUUUCACUUAAAAGUACUGAGCAAGACGAAGCCGGUGUUGGUCCGUCUGAGGGUUGGAAACUGUGUUGGCUGGCAGGCUUAGAACAAGUGGACGAAAUGUGUUGGCGCUGCUCAGCUGCAAUGAUUGGCGAAUUCUAAUAAUUAAAACUGGUGGUGUUCAUAUCCGUGCAGAGGAUGCGGGAUGAGUGACGCGGCGCUUUGAAAAAAAAAAGACUCAACUUGCAAAUAUACGAUUUGAAUGUAAAAUGCAAAAUGGCACACCGUUAUUUUUUCGAAUUAAAGUAUGCUUGUCUCUGUCAUGAAUCCUCCUUGUAUUCAUAUUCAUCGUGUGUUUCGUUAAUGUGGUUUGUAAAAUGGCUCCGCCGGGAACGCAAGCGAGCUUUAAAGAGCGGCAAGAAAUUGUGAAACUUCUUUCAGAAGGGGCAUCAUUCGUAAAGGCUCGAAGAAAAAUACUAGAAAACCCUGUUCCAUUGUGUAUAAUAUUAGGUCGCGAUAUGCCAAAAAAUUCGCUUGUCGAACAAGGAGAAAAACUUAAAUACCAUGAUGAGCACCCAAUAUUGAAUAAGUAUAAUUAUGCGAAUCCAUAUAUCAGAAAUAGAGCAAUGCAAUUGAAAUUCGCUAAGGAAUACAUAUCAAAAGAAGAGACGAUUUAACGUUAACUAAAGUGAAAUAUUUGUCUUAAUCCUAGAACCCUAGAAGCUUUUAGCACACAAAAUUUUUUAAUCGAAACAAUUUCUAAGUUCUCUAUCGUUGCACCACUUGUUACCCUGUGUACCUUUCGCUAAAAAUUAAUUAUUAAAUGGUAUUUUGUUAAAAUUUAAAUAUGUAACACUUUAUAUAUAUACAUAUGCACACAAACUAAACUGAAUAUAUUCAAUAUGUUAUCAAAAUGCUCACGUACGAUAAUCCAUGUCACUCUUUUCUAGAGUUAAUAUGUAAUACUAUCAGUUUUGUUUACCGAUCAAAGUAAGUUUCUGAUGGUAGAAGCAACGUUUGGCGAUGGAAGGAUGUUGUAUGAAAACUUAAGAUUUGUUGAAGAAAAUGUGAAAAGAUUUCCGUAUCUCGAUAAAUUAAAGCCAAAGUGCAACGAAAUAGGUUAUCGAAGGCAACUUUGCUAUUUACCAAGGCAACGAUCCAGAACAUACUUCCAAAGCUGCGAAGCUUUGACUUGACCGUCAUAUGGAUCAA